UGUUUAAAGGCAUUAAAACCACUUUCAUAACUUCAAUAUGACACUCUUAAUUAAGUUACUUAAAC
Molecule: transfer RNA, 65 nt
Filed under: Myrmecophilus sp.
Lineage: Eukaryota; Metazoa; Arthropoda; Insecta; Orthoptera; Myrmecophilidae
Description: tRNA-Phe
Source: RNAcentral